This 2930-nucleotide ribosomal RNA is filed under the name Proteus vulgaris. Its description in RNAcentral is "23S ribosomal RNA". It matches the Rfam family "Bacterial large subunit ribosomal RNA". Lineage: Bacteria; Pseudomonadati; Pseudomonadota; Gammaproteobacteria; Enterobacterales; Morganellaceae. The record is from RNAcentral.
GGGUUGUGAGGUUAAGCGAAUAAGCGUACACGGUGGAUGCCUAGGCAAUCAGAGGCGAUGAAGGACGUGCUAAUCUGCGAUAAGCGUCGGUAAGGUGAUAUGAACCGUUAUACCCGACGAUUUCCGAAUGGGGAAACCCAAUAUCCAAUGGAUAUUAUCAUGACGUGAAUACAUAGCGUCAUGAAGCGAACCGGGAGAACUGAAACAUCUCAGUACCCCGAGGAAAAGAAAUCAACCGAGAUUCCCCUAGUAGCGGCGAGCGAACGGGGAACAGCCCAGAGUCUUAAUCAACAGCAGCAUCAGGAGAACGGUCUGGAAAGUCCGGCAGUAAAGGGUGAUAGCCCCGUAUCUGAAGAUGCUGUUAUUGUGAACUCGACGAGUAGGGCGGGACACGUGUUAUCCUGUCUGAAUAUGGGGGGACCAUCCUCCAAGGCUAAAUACUCCUGAUUGACCGAUAGUGAACCAGUACCGUGAGGGAAAGGCGAAAAGAACCCCGGCGAGGGGAGUGAAAAAGAACCUGAAACCGUGUACGUACAAGCAGUAGGAGCCUCUUUAUGGGGUGACUGCGUACCUUUUGUAUAAUGGGUCAGCGACUUAUAUUCUGUAGCAAGGUUAACCGUAUAGGGGAGCCGUAGGGAAACCGAGUCUUAACUGGGCGAAUGAGUUGCAGGGUAUAGACCCGAAACCCGGUGAUCUAUCCAUGGGCAGGUUGAAGGUUGGGUAACACUAACUGGAGGACCGAACCGACUAAUGUUGAAAAAUUAGCGGAUGACUUGUGGAUGGGGGUGAAAGGCCAAUCAAACCGGGAGAUAGCUGGUUCUCCCCGAAAGCUAUUUAGGUAGCGCCUCGUGAACUCAUCUUCGGGGGUAGAGCACUGUUUCGACUAGGGGGUCAUCCCGACUUACCAACUCGAUGCAAACUGCGAAUACCGAAGAAUGUUAUCACGGGAGACACACGGCGGGUGCUAACGUCCGUCGUGAAGAGGGAAACAACCCAGACCGCCAGCUAAGGUCCCAAAGUCAUGGUUAAGUGGGAAACGAAGUGGGAAGGCUCAGACAGCCAGGAUGUUGGCUUAGAAGCAGCCAUCAUUUAAAGAAAGCGUAAUAGCUCACUGGUCGAGUCGGCCCGCGCGGAAGAUGUAACGGGGCUAAACCAUGCACCGAAGCUGCGGCAGCGACACUAUGUGUUGUUGGGUAGGGGAGCGUUCUGUAAGCCUGCGAAGGUGUACUGUGAGGUAUGCUGGAGGUAUCAGAAGUGCGAAUGCUGACAUAAGUAACGAUAAUGCGGGUGAAAAACCCGCACGCCGGAAGACCAAGGGUUCCUGUCCAACGUUAAUCGGGGCAGGGUGAGUCGACCCCUAAGGCGAGGCUGAAAAGCGUAGUCGAUGGGAAACGGGUUAAUAUUCCCGUACUGGUGGUAACUGCGAUGGGGGAACGGAGAAGGCUAGGUUGUCCGGGCGACGGUCGUCCCGGUUCAAGCAUGUAGGCAGAGUGAUUAGGCAAAUCCGGUCACUUAAUGCUGAGGUGUGAUGACGAGCCACUAAGGUGGUGAAGCAAUUGAUGCCCUGCUUCCAGGAAAAGCCUCUAAGCUUCAGGUUACCAACAAUCGUACCCCAAACCGACACAGGUGGUCAGGUAGAGAAUACUCAGGCGCUUGAGAGAACUCGGGUGAAGGAACUAGGCAAAAUGGUGCCGUAACUUCGGGAGAAGGCACGCUGGCGGUAAGUGAAGUCCCUCGCGGACGGAGCCGAAGCCAGUCGAAGAUACCAGCUGGCUGCAACUGUUUAUUAAAAACACAGCACUGUGCAAACACGAAAGUGGACGUAUACGGUGUGACGCCUGCCCGGUGCUGGAAGGUUAAUUGAUGGGGUUAUCCGUAAGGAGAAGCUCUUGAUCGAAGCCCCAGUAAACGGCGGCCGUAACUAUAACGGUCCUAAGGUAGCGAAAUUCCUUGUCGGGUAAGUUCCGACCUGCACGAAUGGCGUAAUGAUGGCCAGGCUGUCUCCACCCGAGACUCAGUGAAAUUGAACUCGCUGUGAAGAUGCAGUGUACCCGCGGCAAGACGGAAAGACCCCGUGAACCUUUACUAUAGCUUGACACUGAACAUUGAGCCUUGAUGUGUAGGAUAGGUGGGAGACUUUGAAGUGUGGACGCCAGUCUGCAUGGAGUCAACCUUGAAAUACCACCCUUUAACGUUUGAUGUUCUAACCUAGGUCCAUAAUCUGGAUCGGGGACCGUGUCUGGUGGGUAGUUUGACUGGGGCGGUCUCCUCCUAAAGAGUAACGGAGGAGCACGAAGGUUGGCUAAGCAUGGUCGGACAUCAUGCGGUUAGUGCAAAGGCAUAAGCCAGCUUGACUGUGAGAGUGACGGCUCGAGCAGGUACGAAAGUAGGUCUUAGUGAUCCGGUGGUUCUGAAUGGAAGGGCCAUCGCUCAACGGAUAAAAGGUACUCCGGGGAUAACAGGCUGAUACCGCCCAAGAGUUCAUAUCGACGGCGGUGUUUGGCACCUCGAUGUCGGCUCAUCACAUCCUGGGGCUGAAGUAGGUCCCAAGGGUAUGGCUGUUCGCCAUUUAAAGUGGUACGCGAGCUGGGUUUAGAACGUCGUGAGACAGUUCGGUCCCUAUCUGCCGUGGGCGUUGGAAGAUUGAGAGGGGUUGCUCCUAGUACGAGAGGACCGGAGUGAACGCACCACUGGUGUUCGGGUUGUCAUGCCAAUGGCAUUGCCCGGUAGCUAAGUGCGGAAGAGAUAACCGCUGAAAGCAUCUAAGCGGGAAACUUGCCUCGAGAUGAGUCUUCCCUGUCACCUUGAGUGACCUAAAGGAACGUUUAAGACUAAGACGUUGAUAGGCUGGGUGUGUAAGCGUAGCGAUACGUUGAGCUAACCAGUACUAAUGAACCGUGAGGCUUAACCUGACAACACCGAAGGUGUUU